GGUGAAAUGUCUGAGUGGCUGAAGGAGCACGCCUGGAAAGUGUGUGUAGGAGAAAUUCUACCUAGGGUUCGAAUCCCUAUUUCACCGCCA
RNAcentral lists this transfer RNA (90 nucleotides) under Shewanella intestini. Its description in RNAcentral is "tRNA-Ser". It matches the Rfam family "tRNA". From Rfam's summary of the family: Transfer RNA (tRNA) molecules are approximately 80 nucleotides in length. The record is from RNAcentral. Lineage: Bacteria; Pseudomonadati; Pseudomonadota; Gammaproteobacteria; Alteromonadales; Shewanellaceae.